This 299-nucleotide unclassified non-coding RNA is filed under the name Coprinellus micaceus. RNAcentral's name for it is "partial contains small subunit ribosomal RNA, internal transcribed spacer 1, and 5.8S ribosomal RNA". The record is from RNAcentral. Lineage: Eukaryota; Fungi; Basidiomycota; Agaricomycetes; Agaricales; Psathyrellaceae. RNAcentral also lists the same sequence under 1 other name.
UUUCCGUAGGUGAACCUGCGGAAGGAUCAUUAACGAAUAACUAUGGUGUCUUGGUUGUAGCUGGCUCCUCGGAGCAAUGUGCACGCCCGCCAUUUUUAUCUUUCCACCUGUGCACCGACUGUAGGUCUGGAUGACUCUCGCACUCCGGUGCGGAUGCGAGGAUUGCUCUCGGGCUCUCCUCGAAUUUCCAGGCUCUACGUCUUUUUACACACCCCAAACGUAUGAUACAGAAUGUAGUCAAUGGGCUUGAUCGCCUAUAAAACACUAUACAACUUUCAGCAACGGAUCUCUUGGCUCUC